RNAcentral lists this ribosomal RNA (538 nucleotides) under uncultured Geobacteraceae bacterium. RNAcentral describes it as "bacterial SSU rRNA". It matches the Rfam family "Bacterial small subunit ribosomal RNA", at positions 10 to 526 of the family's 1533-position model. The record is from RNAcentral. Lineage: Bacteria; Pseudomonadati; Thermodesulfobacteriota; Desulfuromonadia; Geobacterales; Geobacteraceae.
GGUUUGAUCCUGGCUCAGAACGAACGCUGGCGGCGUGCUUAACACAUGCAAGUCGAACGGGAUCCAGAGCUUGCUCUGGUGAGAGUGGCGCACGGGUGAGUAACGCGUGGAUAACCUGCCCUGGUAUCUGGAAUAACAUCUCGAAAGGGGUGCAAAUACCGGAUAAGCCUACGGAGCCUUCGGUCUCUGCAGGAAAAGGUGGCCUCUAUUUAUAAGCUACCGUAUCAGGAUGGGUCCGCGUACCAUUAGCUAGUUGGUAGGGUAAUGGCCUACCAAGGCUACGAUGGUUAGCUGGUCUGAGAGGAUGAUCAGCCACACUGGAACUGAGACACGGUCCAGACUCCUACGGGAGGCAGCAGUGGGGAAUUUUGCGCAAUGGGGGAAACCCUGACGCAGCAACGCCGCGUGAGUGAUGAAGGCUUUCGGGUCGUAAAGCUCUGUCAGAAGGGAAGAAAUGAGACGUGCUAAUAUCACGUUUUCUUGACGGUACCUUCAAAGGAAGCACCGGCUAACUCCGUGCCAGCAGCCGCGGUAAUAC